UGCACUUAACAACCCCUGGACAGGGACAUUCACAUCAGCAUCCGUAAAGAAGAGAGGCUCUCAAAUACCCUCCCACCACGGGCUGAUCGAUGGCCCUACCACGAUGGAGCCUUGACACUGUGAUGAGUGAAUACGCAUGCUCAUGGACAUUCUUGGAAGCAGAUUCCAAGCAGAAAACAGACUAUGAAGCUCACUCACCAGAACCCAAAAAGAAAGAGAAAUUCUCCACCUCCCUGCAGGAGAGCUGGAAUUACAGAAAUGUGCUACAGUGUCUGGUUUUUGGUGGUUCUAUGAAUCCAAACUCAGGACCUUCUUUAUCAGCAAGAACUCUUUAUGCAUUGAG
Peromyscus eremicus (cactus mouse) is the source of this 343-nucleotide long non-coding RNA. RefSeq lists it as uncharacterized. The transcript has 3 exons. NCBI's taxonomy places the organism in Eukaryota, Metazoa, Chordata, Mammalia, Rodentia, Cricetidae. The record is from RefSeq and is a predicted model, not a curated record.